This 250-nucleotide ribosomal RNA is filed under the name uncultured bacterium. RNAcentral describes it as "partial small subunit ribosomal RNA". It matches the Rfam family "Bacterial small subunit ribosomal RNA", at positions 26 to 290 of the family's 1533-position model. The record is from RNAcentral.
AGAAUCAACGCUGGCGGCGUGCCUAACACAUGCAAGUCGCACGAGAAAGGGUAGCAAUACCUGAGUACAGUGGCGCACGGGUGAGUAACACGUGAAUUAUCUACCUCCGAGUGGGGAAUAACUGAGAGAAAUCUUAGCUAAUACCGCAUAACACUUACGAGUCAAAGCAGCAAUGCGCUUGGAGAGGAGUUCGCGGCAGAUUAGUUAGUUGGCGGGGUAAUGGCCCACCAAGACGAUGAUCUGUAUCCGG